Molecule: ribosomal RNA, 507 nt
Filed under: uncultured soil bacterium
Lineage: Bacteria
Description: bacterial SSU rRNA
Rfam family: Bacterial small subunit ribosomal RNA
Source: RNAcentral
AGAGUUUGAUCCUGGCUCAGAAUCAACGCUGGCGGCGUGCCUCAGACAUGCAAGUCGAACGCGAAAGUCCCCUUCGGGGGACAAGUAGAGUGGCGCACGGGUGAGUAACACGUAGGUAAUCUACCUUCGGAUGGGGAAUAACAACCGGAAACGGUUGCUAAUACCGCAUAAUGCAGCGGCACCUAAUGGUGACAGUUGUUAAAGCGGGGGAUCGAAAGACCUCGCGUCUGAAGAGGAGCCUGCGGCGGAUUAGCUAGUUGGUAGGGUAACGGCCUACCAAGGCGACGAUCCGUAGCCGGCCUGAGAGGGCGGUCGGCCACACUGACACUGACAUACGGGUCAGACUCCUACGGGAGGCAGCAGUCGGGAAUCUUGGGCAAUGGGCGAAAGCCUGACCCAGCAACGCCGCGUGAAGGAUGAAAUCCUUCGGGAUGUAAACUUCGCAAGAACGGGAAGAAUGAGUCUGCGUGAAUAUCGCAGGCGAUGACGGUACCGUUUGAAGCCCCU